GAUGAACGCUAGCGGCAGGCCUAAUACAUGCAAGUCGUACGGCAACACAGUUGCGAGCAAUCGCAACCGGUGGCGAGUGGCGCACGGGCGAGUAACGCGUAUGUAACCUACCCUUCUCCGGGACAUAACUCCGCGAAAGCGGUGCUAAUAUCCCAUACCAACUCAUCAAGACAUCUUCUUGAGUUGAAAGCAGCAAUGCGGUGAAGGAUGGGCAUGCGUCCCAUUAGCUGGUUGGUGAGGUAAUGGCCCACCAAGGCUACGAUGGGUAGGGGUUCUGAGAGGAAAGCCCCCCACACUGGUACUGAGACACGGACCAGACUCCUACGGGAGGCAGCAGUAAGGAAUAUUGGGCAAUGGUCGAAAGACUGACCCAGCCAUGCCGCGUGCAGGAUGAAGGCCCUAUGGGUUGUAAACUGCUUUUAGCCGGGAAUAAACACCCGUUUUAUAACGGGCCCGAAGGUACCGGCUGAAUAAGCAUCGGCUAACUCCGUG
Molecule: ribosomal RNA, 492 nt
Filed under: uncultured bacterium
Lineage: Bacteria
Description: bacterial SSU rRNA
Rfam family: Bacterial small subunit ribosomal RNA
Source: RNAcentral